Molecule: ribosomal RNA, 256 nt
Filed under: uncultured Leptotrichia sp.
Lineage: Bacteria; Fusobacteriati; Fusobacteriota; Fusobacteriia; Fusobacteriales; Leptotrichiaceae
Description: partial 16S ribosomal RNA
Rfam family: Bacterial small subunit ribosomal RNA
Source: RNAcentral
CGGACGGGUGAGUAACGCGUAAAGAACUUGCCUUUAGACUGGGAUAACAGAGGGAAACUUCUGAUAAUACUGGAUAAGUUAGUAUAUCGCAUGAUAUGCAAAUGAAAGCUACGGCACUAAAGGAGAGCUUNUGCGUCCUAUUAGCUAGUUGGUAAGGUAAGAGCUUACCAAGGCGAUGAUAGGUAGCCGGCCUGAGAGGGUGGACGGCCACAAGGGGACUGAGAUACGGCCCUUACUCCUACGGGAGGCAGCAGCC